This 492-nucleotide ribosomal RNA is filed under the name uncultured bacterium. RNAcentral describes it as "partial 16S ribosomal RNA". It matches the Rfam family "Bacterial small subunit ribosomal RNA", at positions 29 to 507 of the family's 1533-position model. The record is from RNAcentral.
AGUGAACGCUGGCGGUAGGCCUAACACAUGCAAGUCGAACGGCAGCACAGUAAGAGCUUGCUCUUACGGGUGGCGAGUGGCGGACGGGUGAGGAAUACAUCGGAAUCUACUUUUUCGUGGGGGAUAACGUAGGGAAACUUACGCUAAUACCGCAUACGACCUACGGGUGGAAGCAGGGGAUCUUCGGACCUUGCGCGAUUGAAUGAGCCGAUGUCGGAUUAGCUAGUUGGCGGGGUAAAGGCCCACCAAGGCGACGAUCCGUAGCUGGUCUGAGAGGAUGAUCAGCCACACUGGAACUGAGACACGGUCCAGACUCCUACGGGAGGCAGCAGUGGGGAAUAUUGGACAAUGGGCGCAAGCCUGAUCCAGCCAUACCGCGUGGGUGAAGAAGGCCUUCGGGUUGUAAAGCCCUUUUGCUGGGAAAGAAAAGCAGCAGGUUAAUACCCCGCUGUUCUGACGGUACCCAAAGAAUAAGCACCGGCUAACUUCGUG